This 432-nucleotide unclassified non-coding RNA is filed under the name soil metagenome. RNAcentral describes it as "partial contains 5.8S ribosomal RNA, internal transcribed spacer 2, and large subunit ribosomal RNA". The stretch from base 1 to 120 matches the Rfam family "5.8S ribosomal RNA", at positions 35 to 154 of the family's 154-position model. The record is from RNAcentral.
GAUGAAGAACGCAGCGAAAUGCUAUACGUAAUGUGAAUUGCAGAAUUCAGUGAAUCAUCGAAUCUUUGAACGCAUAUUGCGCUCUCUGGUAUUCCGGAGAGCAUGCUUGUUUGAGUAUCAGUAAACACCUCAACUUCCAUAUCUUUUUUGAAAUGGGAGUUGGACUUGAGUGAUCCCAACGCUUUUCCUCACCGAAAAGUGGCGGGUUACUUGAAAUGCAGGUGCAGCUGGACUUUUCUCUGAGCUAUAAGCAUAUCUAUUUAGUCUGCCUAAAAAACAGAUUAUUACCUUUGCUGCAGCUAACAUAAAGGAGAUUAGUUCUUGUGCUGACUGAUGCAGGAUUCACAAAGACAGCUUCGGCCGACUUUGUAAACUCGAUCUCAAAUCAAGUAAGACUACCCGCUGAACUUAAGCAUAUCAAUAAGCGGAGGA